UAUGCACAGUUUAAAGACUAACGGUAUAAUUUGGGAGGGGAGGAGGAAAUAUGAGUUUUAGAUUCAGACAAGCCUGAUGUUUGAAGACCUGCUGAAUAUUUAUGAGCUGCACGUUCCUUUGGAUGCGUUACUUAACCUCUCUAAUGCUCAGUUUCCAAAUUUGUAAAAUGGAAGUGGUAAUACUCUAGAGCUCCUUGCAGGAUAAAUUCCUAACCUUAAUCAUAUCUUUGUCUCUCCAAAGGGCUAAAAUGAUUUUCUCAAAAUAUUGAAAGAGGAGCUUGCAGAAUCUAGUUCUUCUGCCACUCAAUCUAUUCCUUUUUCCACUACAUCAUGGGACUAUGCUUUGUACUCCCAACCAAGUCUGGAGUGCUUGGCAGUGACGUAUGAGACUGGAGAGCAGAGGACUGUUAUCUGUAGAAGACAGGUAUUUGACCAGAGCUGUGCUGCAGGAUGCAGGCAGACGGACAAGUUGACACCGAAGAGCCAAUGCACAGGCCACAAGAAAAACAUCCACAGUGAAGCUGCAGUGACAGCCUCUCCUUACUGGGCAAAGUCAGCUUACCUCCCACUCCCAUCGGUCCUACCGCCAGAACCAUUGCGGAAUCCUGAACUAUGAACCUCCGUGUUCACUUCUCUAGAGGUGCGGAACAUUCCUCUGAAACUGAGGCUUUCUGAAGGAAGCUAAUUUUGUUGUUUUGUUUUGUUUUUUGUUUUUUUGAAAUGGAGUUUUGCUCUUGUUUCCCAGGCUGGAGUGCAAUGGCAUGAUCUUGGCACACUGCAACCUCCGCCUCUUGGGCUCGAGGGAUUCUCCUGCCUCAGCCUUCCAAAUGGCUGGGAUUACAGGCAUGCGCCACCAUGCCCGGCAAAUUUUGUAUUUUUCUUUUAGUAGUGACGGCGUUUCUCCAUGUUAGUCAGGCUGGUCUCGAACUCCUGACUUCAGGUGAUCCGCCUGCCUCGGCCUCCCAAAGUGCUGGGAUUACAGGUGUGAGCCAGCAUGAAAUUUUUCAUUGCUACU
Molecule: long non-coding RNA, 1015 nt
Filed under: Callithrix jacchus (white-tufted-ear marmoset)
Lineage: Eukaryota; Metazoa; Chordata; Mammalia; Primates; Cebidae
Description: lncRNA (ENSCJAG00000061123.2)
Source: RNAcentral